Non-coding RNA from Pelobates cultripes (western spadefoot toad), 647 nucleotides. The record is from the annotation of a GenBank genome assembly. Lineage: Eukaryota; Metazoa; Chordata; Amphibia; Anura; Pelobatidae.
UGGCAGCUGAUGCAGAAAAACCAUUUGAUAUGGUCAGAUAGGAAUAUAUGAGUAAAGCACAAUUAAAAUGUGGAAUUCGGGACUGGACACAUUGGACAAACUUGUCCUUAUUUACAGAGCCAACAGCAAGAAUGGUAGGGCCAAACUUAUGUGCAGAUGGGUUUAGACUGAACAAUGGUACCAGACAGGGCUAUAUGCUGCCCCAAUUCUAUACAUCAUCAUAAUAGAACCAUUAGCAAUAAACUUAAGGAAUAAUAUUUUGAUAAAGGAUUUGCCCUCCGGGCAAAGAGAAUUAAAAAUGAAUAUGUAUGCGAAUGACAUCCUUCUAACUCUAACUGGCCCAAUCAUCUCGCUGGAACAUUUUAUGUAAAAGAUAGAUGACUAUAGUAACAGCUCUAACACUAAAAUGAAUAUGAAUAAAACUACCUCCCCUCACCCUUUAACACUCCAUCCUCCAACCAUGUCACGCUUGCCCUCCUUCAUUCUGCCACACACACCCCUCAACCCUGUCUCAUGUGUUCCCUCGUUCUGUCACACUCACCCUGUUACAGUCACCCCUGAAAACAAUCAUCAUACACACAAAGUCAUAAAACAUAGCUUCGCCACAAACACAGUGCACAAAGGGCACAGGCAGUCCUCUCAUAUAC